GAUAAACGCUGGCGGCGUGCCUAACACAUGCAAGUCGAACGAUCCCGCAAGGGAGAGUGGCGGAAGGGUGAGUAACACGUGGAAUCUACCUCCUCGCAGGGAACAACCUCUCGAAAGAGAGGCUAAUACCCAAAAGGGUCAGAAAUGAUCAGAGUCGAAAGACGUGAGGAGAGGAGCCCGCGGCCCAUCAGCUAGUUGGUGAGGCAAUGGCUUACCAAGGCUACGACGGGUAGGGGAUCUGAGAGGAUGUCCCCCACACUGGAACUGAAACACGGUCCAGACGCCUACGGGUGGCAGCAGUGAGGAAUAUUGGACAAUGGGCGAAAGCCCGAUCCAGCAACGCCGCGUGGAGGAUGAAGGCCUUGGGUCGUAAACUUCUUUAGAGGGAGACGAGAAAGGACGGUAU
Molecule: ribosomal RNA, 406 nt
Filed under: uncultured bacterium
Lineage: Bacteria
Description: bacterial SSU rRNA
Rfam family: Bacterial small subunit ribosomal RNA
Source: RNAcentral